AGAAGAGAAAUGAUGAAAAGGAAAGGAGAGGCCUUUAGAGUUUGGAAUAUGGCUCAGGACGAACGCUGGCGGCGUGCCUAAUACAUGCAAGUCGAGCGGACAGAUGGGAGCUUGCUCCCUGAUGUUAGCGGCGGACGGGUGAGUAACACGUGGGUAACCUGCCUGUAAGACUGGGAUAACUCCGGGAAACCGGGGCUAAUACCGGAUGGUUGUUUGAACCGCAUGGUUCAAACAUAAAAGGUGGCUUCGGCUACCACUUACAGAUGGACCCGCGGCGCAUUAGCUAGUGGUGAGGUAACGGCUCCACCAAGGCGACGAUGCGUAGCCGACCUGAGAGGGUGACUCGGCCACACUGGGACUGAGACACGGCCCAGAACUCCUACGGGAGGCAGCAGUAGGGAAUCUUCCGCAAUGGACGAAAGUCUGACGGAGCAACGCCGCGUGAGUGAUGAAGGUUUUCGGAUCGUAAAGCUCUGUUGUUAGGGAAGAACAAGUACCGUUCGAAUAGGGCGGUACCUUGACGGUACCUAACCAGAAAGCCACGGCUAACUACGUGCCAGCAGCCGCGUAAUACGUAGGUGGCAAGCGUUGUCCGGAAUUAUUGGGCGUAAAGGGCUCGCAGGCGGUUUCUUAAGUCUGAUGUGAAAGCCCACCGGCUCAACCGGGGAGGGUCAUGUGGAAACUGGGGAACUUGAGUGCAGAAGAGGAAGAGUGGAAUUCCACGUGUAGCGGUGAAUGCGUAGAGAUGUGGAGGAACACCAGUGGCGAAGGCGACUCUCUGGUCUGUAACUGACGCUGAGGAGCGAAAGCGUGGGGAGCGAACAGGAUUAGAUACCCUGGUAGUCCACGCCGUAAACGAUGAGUGCUAAGUGUUAGGGAGGUUUCCGCCCCUUAGUGCUGCAGCUAACGCAUUAAGCACUCCGCCUGGGGAGUACGGUCGCAAGACUGAAACUCAAAGGAAUUGACGGGGGCCCGCACAAGCGGUGGAGCAUGUGGUUUAAUUCGAAGCAACGCGAAGAACCUUACCAGGUCUUGACAUCCUCUGACAAUCCUAGAGAUAGGACGUCCCUUCGGGGGCAGAGUGACAGGUGGUGCAUGGUUGUCGUCAGCUCGUGCUCGUGAGAUGUUGGGUUAAGUCCCGCAACGAGCGCAACCCUUGAUCUUAGUUGCCAGCAUUCAGUUGGGCACUCUAAGGUGACUGCCGGUGACAAACCGGAGGAAGGUGGGGAUGACGUCAAAUCAUCAUGCCCCUUAUGACCUGGGCUACACACGUGCUACAAUGGACAGAACAAAGGGCAGCGAAACCGCGAGGUUAAGCCAAUCCCACAAAUCUGUUCUCAGUUCGGAUCGCAGUCUGCAACUCGACUGCGUGAAGCUGGAAUCGCUAGUAAUCGCGGAUCAGCAUGCCGCGGUGAAUACGUUCCCGGGCCUUGUACACACCGCCCGUCACACCACGAGAGUUUGUAACACCCGAAGUCGGUGAGGUAACCUUUUAGGAGCCAGCCGCCGAAGGUGGGACAGAUGAUUGGGGUGAAGUCGUACAGGGGUAACCGUAAAGAGGGGAGCGGGGGCCCCCUCCCCACUCUCCUUCCCUAUACU
RNAcentral lists this ribosomal RNA (1599 nucleotides) under Bacillus subtilis. RNAcentral's name for it is "bacterial SSU rRNA". It matches the Rfam family "Bacterial small subunit ribosomal RNA". Lineage: Bacteria; Bacillati; Bacillota; Bacilli; Caryophanales; Bacillaceae. The record is from RNAcentral.